This 241-nucleotide ribosomal RNA is filed under the name uncultured bacterium. RNAcentral describes it as "partial 16S ribosomal RNA". It matches the Rfam family "Bacterial small subunit ribosomal RNA", at positions 100 to 334 of the family's 1533-position model. The record is from RNAcentral.
CCGGCACGGGUGAGUAACACGUAUGCAAUCCACCUGUAACAGGGGGAGUAACCCGGAGAAAUCCGGACUAAUACCCCAUAAUAUGGGCGCUCCGCAUGGAGAGCCCAUUAAAGAGAGCAAUUUUGGUUACAGACGAGCAUGCGCUCCAUUAGCCAGUUGGCGGGGUAACGGCCACCAAAGCGACGAUGGAUAGGGGUUCUGAGAGGAAGGUCCCCCACAUUGGAACUGAGACACGGUCCAA